GACGAACGCUGGCGGCAUGCUUAACACAUGCAAGUCGAGGGGGAAGUGGUGCUUGCACCAUGGUAACCAUGACGGACGGGUGAGUAACUCGUAAGUAAGUUACCUGCGGGACCGGGAGAACAGCAGGAAGGUGCUGACAAGACCGGAUAAGGUCAUUCAGCUGAAUAGCGUAGUGAGGAAGCGAGACGCCUGCGGAGGGCCUUGCGUCCUAUUAGCUAGUUGGAGGGGUCACGGCCCACCAAGGCGAAGAUAGGGAGCCGGCCUGAGGGGGUGAACGGCCACAAGGGGACGGAGGGCCGGCGCUUACUCCUACGGGAGGCAGCAGUGGGGAAGAUUGGACAACGGGGGGAGCCCUGAUCCAGCAAUCCUGUGUGCACGAAGACGGUUUUCGGAUGGUAAAGGGCUUUCAGCAGGGAAGAAGGAAGUGACGGUACCUGCAGAAGAAGCGACGGCUAACUACGUG
This 463-nucleotide ribosomal RNA is filed under the name uncultured bacterium. RNAcentral describes it as "partial 16S ribosomal RNA". It matches the Rfam family "Bacterial small subunit ribosomal RNA", at positions 28 to 507 of the family's 1533-position model. The record is from RNAcentral.